RNAcentral lists this ribosomal RNA (253 nucleotides) under uncultured bacterium. RNAcentral's name for it is "partial 16S ribosomal RNA". It matches the Rfam family "Bacterial small subunit ribosomal RNA", at positions 524 to 776 of the family's 1533-position model. The record is from RNAcentral.
UACGGGGGGGGCAAGCGUUGUUCGGAAUUACUGGGCGUAAAGGGCUCGUAGGUGGCCAACUAAGCCAGACGUGAAAUCCCUCAGCUUAACUGGGGAACUGCGUCUGAUACUGGAUGGCUUGAGUUCGGGAGAGGGAUGCGGAAUUCCAGGUGUAGCGGUGAAAUGCGUAGAUAUCUGGAGGAACACCGGUGGCGAAGGCGGCAUCCUGGACCGAUACUGACACUGAGGAGCGAAAGCCAGGGGAGCAAACGGG